This 233-nucleotide long non-coding RNA is filed under the name Carica papaya (papaya). Its description in RNAcentral is "long non-coding RNA (CPAP_LNC003668)". The record is from RNAcentral. Lineage: Eukaryota; Viridiplantae; Streptophyta; Magnoliopsida; Brassicales; Caricaceae.
AUCUCAACUGUCCGAUCGCACCUAAGGGGAAAACAGAUAUGGGUUGUCCACACGCAGGAUCGAUCUUGGACCGUCUGAUCGCAGGGCACGCGGAUCGCCAACGUGGCCUCCUGGUAGCACCAACGUCAACGCGCCUUGCCAUAGGCGCGCUCUAGUUCGUCGAGACUGCUGACUGGGAGGUCUUACGUAGUCGGAUUUUCUCUAUUUGUACUUUGAUCAUCUGUUUCUAAUUU